GAUCAAAGUGAGCAAACGAGCUUUUAAUCCAGAGCAACGGUUGAUCAUAACUUUAAGAUAUUUAGCAACUGGUGAUCAAAUACUGUCCAUUGCACUGGCUUUUAGAUAUGGAGAAUCAACUGUGCGGAAAAUUAUCCAC
Molecule: non-coding RNA, 139 nt
Organism: Linepithema humile (Argentine ant)
Lineage: Eukaryota; Metazoa; Arthropoda; Insecta; Hymenoptera; Formicidae
Source: RefSeq, a predicted model, not a curated record